Molecule: small nuclear RNA, 207 nt
Organism: Cavia aperea (Brazilian guinea pig)
Lineage: Eukaryota; Metazoa; Chordata; Mammalia; Rodentia; Caviidae
Gene: U4
Rfam family: U4 spliceosomal RNA
About the family: U4 small nuclear RNA (U4 snRNA) is a component of the major U2-dependent spliceosome. The structure of U4 snRNA from yeast and human has been reported.
Source: Ensembl
AGCUUUGCUCAGUGGCAAUAUCGUAGCCAAUGAGGUUUAUCUGAGGCACGAUUAUUGCUAAUUGAAAACUCUACAGUAUCUUUAUUGCACAUACCUGUGAAAGGUCCCUGUCUUCAUCAUGUCUCAUGCUUGUUCUACAGUGGUGCCUACCUUAGUGACUUGUAACACACUACUCAGUAAGUAAGUACUUUUAGAAGGCCUGAAGGA